UUAGCUCAGUUGGUUAGAGCAGAGGACUCAUAAUCCUUUGGUCGGUGGUUCAAGUCCACCA
RNAcentral lists this transfer RNA (61 nucleotides) under Gallionellales bacterium RBG_16_56_9. RNAcentral's name for it is "tRNA-Met". It matches the Rfam family "tRNA", at positions 7 to 64 of the family's 71-position model. From Rfam's summary of the family: Transfer RNA (tRNA) molecules are approximately 80 nucleotides in length. Lineage: Bacteria; Pseudomonadati; Pseudomonadota; Betaproteobacteria; Nitrosomonadales. The record is from RNAcentral.